Molecule: long non-coding RNA, 1161 nt
Organism: Amphiprion ocellaris (clown anemonefish)
Lineage: Eukaryota; Metazoa; Chordata; Actinopteri; Pomacentridae
Source: Ensembl
GGAAGCUCUCUUUCCUUCCUGAACGCAACACAAACGGUUUUACCGGCGUUGUUAUCUCCGGUUUUCUAAGAUGCAGAUACAUGAGAGUUUCCCAAAAUCUCUGGUUUCUUUGAAUGCAAUGAGGCACAAGGAGGCUACCUGUUUCCAUUGAUGAUCUCCUUCCUCCUGAUCAGAGACAAGCUGUGAGCUCAGUCAGGCCUGGAGGAGAGUCUCUGUUAACCAGCUGGGUUAUGUUCCUGUGUGAAAGCUCAUUUAGCCCAGUAGGCCCACCAUGUGUUAAACUCCUUCAGCUCCGCUCUGCGUCUCUCUGAAGACUCUGGACUUAAUUCUGUUCACUCCCACGUGCACAGUCUCUGUUCCCAUUAUCAUCAACUUAACUGGCACGUUAAUGACUCCAAACAAACUGCUCUGCAGAGAGGAUGAUCAAUAAGAGUUAUUGAUCUGGAUGAGGAAGUGCUCAGCUCAAGCAUGUCCCUGGAUUUACAAUCUGUUUUCUUGUUUUCAUUAGAUCCUGUGUAAUUUGACUUGUCGUGUUCACAUUAGAGCAGCUUGUCCUGCUGUUUAAAGCCUAAACUGUGACGUUACAAUGACAACAAAGGACAGUUUAUCCAGCUUUACGAUAAACUCAAAUAACUCCAGAUAGAAAACUUGGAUUUAUCUGGUAAAAUAUGACAUUGCUAUAAAUUCUCUUUUAUUCCUAUAUUGAAAAAUAUGUCUAAUUGUUGUGUCUUUUAAUUGAAAGGGUUCAUUUAUUUUAAAAGAAACUGUUGAAGGAAAUAGAAAUUAAAACAAAACAGAGUGGUCAUUUUGGAUUACAAGAUUAGCGAACAUGUGCUGUUUAGGAUAUAUUUUGAAAUUUUCCACAUUAAAAAAAACACUUAGGAGAAUUUUGAAAUACAAUAAUACCUCCUUACUCUUAUCACCAGACUGAAGUGAUGUUGAAAAACUUCACAUUUUAUACUCUGGUCAAAUGAAAACUGUAAAUUAGAGAUUAAACAGCCUCCUAACAGUAACACAGUAACACUGAUGUUAAUGAAUUAGUUCUAAAGAUUCCAAACUAAACUUGAUGCAACACAAAUGACUCACAACAAUGCUACCUGUGUUUUAAUAGACUUGGUUAAUGACACUAAAACUAGUCCAAUGAGAACUUUAAAGACCCCC